AGAACGAACGCUGGCGGCAGGCCUCAAACAUGCAAGUCUAGGGGGUGUAGCAAUACAUCACCGGCGGACGGGUGCGUAACGCGUGGGAAUGUACCUAUUGGUUCGGAACAACUGAGGGAAACUUCAGCUAAUACCGGAUGAGCCCGCAAGGGGAAAGAUUUCUCGCCAAUAGAUCAGCCCGCGUCCGAUUAGCUAGUUGGUGGGGUUAAAGCCUACCAAGGCAACGAUCGGUAGCUGUUCUGAGAGGAAGAUCAGCCACACUGGGACUGAGACACGGCCCAGACUCCUACGGGAGGCAGCAGUUGGGAAUCUUGGACAAUGGGGGAAACCCUGAUCCAGCCAUGCCGCGUGAGUGAUGAAGGCCUUCGGGUUGUAAAACUCUUUCGACGGGACGAUAAUGACGGUACCCGUAGAGAAGCUCCGGCUACUUCGCGCAGCAGCCGC
Molecule: ribosomal RNA, 444 nt
Filed under: uncultured bacterium
Lineage: Bacteria
Description: SSU rRNA
Rfam family: Bacterial small subunit ribosomal RNA
Source: RNAcentral